GAUGAACGCUGGCGGCGUGCCUAAUACAUGCAAGUCGAGCGAACAGAUGAGGAGCUUGCUCCUCUGACGUUAGCGGCGGACGGGUGAGUAGCACGUGGAUAACCUACCUAUAAGACUGGGAUAACUUCGGGAAACCGGAGCUAAUACCGGAUAAUAUAUUGAACCGCAUGGUUCAAUAGUGAAAGACGGUUUUGCUGUCACUUAUAGAUGGAUCCGCGCCGCAUUAGCUAGUUGGUAAGGUAACGGCUUACCAAGGCAACGAUGCGUAGCCGACCUGAGAGGGUGAUCGGCCACACUGGAACUGAGACACGGUCCAGACUCCUACGGGAGGCAGCAGUAGGGAAUCUUCCGCAAUGGGCGAAAGCCUGACGGAGCAACGCCGCGUGAGCGAUGAAGGUCUUCGGAUCGUAAAACUCUGUUAUUAGGGAAGAACAAAUGUGUAAGUAACUAUGCACGUCUUGACGGUACCUAAUCAGAAAGCCACGGCUAACUACGUG
This 497-nucleotide ribosomal RNA is filed under the name uncultured bacterium. RNAcentral describes it as "partial 16S ribosomal RNA". It matches the Rfam family "Bacterial small subunit ribosomal RNA", at positions 28 to 507 of the family's 1533-position model. The record is from RNAcentral.